GUCGUGAGACGUGGUAAGUCCGCACGAGCGCAACCUCGACCUUAGUUGCCAGCAUUCAGUUGGGCACUCUAAGGUGACUGCCGGCUAAAAGUCGGAGGAAGGUGGGGAUGACGUCAAAUCAUCAUGCCCCUUAUGACCUGGGCUACACACGUGCUACAAUGGUUGGUACAACGAGUUGCGAGUCGGUGACGGCGAGCUAAUCUCUUAAAGCCAAUCUCAGUUCGGAUUGUAGGCUGCAACUCGCCUACAUGAAGUCGGAAUCGCUAGUAAUCGCGGAUCAGCACGCCGCGGUGAAUACGUUCCCGGGCCUU
This 311-nucleotide ribosomal RNA is filed under the name uncultured Streptococcus sp. RNAcentral describes it as "bacterial SSU rRNA". It matches the Rfam family "Bacterial small subunit ribosomal RNA", at positions 1064 to 1382 of the family's 1533-position model. The record is from RNAcentral. Lineage: Bacteria; Bacillati; Bacillota; Bacilli; Lactobacillales; Streptococcaceae.